Molecule: ribosomal RNA, 279 nt
Filed under: uncultured bacterium
Lineage: Bacteria
Description: partial 16S ribosomal RNA
Rfam family: Bacterial small subunit ribosomal RNA
Source: RNAcentral
UUGGGCCUACGGGAGGCAGCAGUCGAGAAUCAUUCACAAUGGGGGGAACCCUGAUGGUGCGACGCCGCGUGGGGGAAUGAAGGUCUUCGGAUUGUAAACCCCUGUCAUGUGGGAGCAAGUUAAAAAGAUAGUACCACAAGAGGAAGAGACGGCUAACUCUGUGCCAGCAGCCGCGGUAAUACAGAGGUCUCAAGCGUUGUUCGGCAUCACUGGGCGUAAAGCGUGCGUAGGCUGUUUCGUAAGUCGUGUGUGAAAGGCGCGGGCUGAACAGGCGGACGG